This is a non-coding RNA of Meleagris gallopavo (turkey), 2383 nucleotides long. NCBI's taxonomy places the organism in Eukaryota, Metazoa, Chordata, Aves, Galliformes, Phasianidae. The record is from RefSeq and is a predicted model, not a curated record.
ACGAAAUACCGUCUUUAGACGAGGGUCUAAAGAUGCUAAAACGGCACCAGAAAUCGAAGCUGCAGCCGUCCGGAUAGAAAGCUGUUGGAUUCUUCUGCGGACGGCCGAGCAGAGCUGUUCUUCCCCCUUCUUUAGCUCCUAUAAUCAUUUCUUGCUCUGUCUUCUCAAAGUUCAAGCUCUCUUUUAAAACAAAGAUCGGACGCAACAUUUCUUUGUUCUCACCUCCACUUCUCCGCACCGUCUGUUGGGAGUUUCGUCUAUUCUCGGUUCCGACUCUUCACGGUUAGCAUCGUUUCUUUGUUUCUGCUUUGGGCUGAAAGCCGUUUAAUCUGCACCAUCCAGCGGGAAACGAAUCGGGGACUCCAGAAACACCGCAGGGAAAUCCCGCUUGGAGCAAAGCCGGGAAAUUCUGCAACAAAUCCCCUCAAAUAGCCUUUACUUCUCCUGAUGCCCACCCAGCCAAACCCGCUAUUAACAACCACCCGCCCCACGCUUUCCAUCUGCGUGGCUCUUCCAUUCGCAUCGGUGUCCUCUCUUCUAUUUUAGUUUCUUUGCUCCCCUCUCCGCCGACUCUUAGAGCCCGCUGUGUGGACGGAAGCUUGCUAGGUUUGGAAUUAAAAGGUCAUUUCGAGAGGAUUGCCAAGUCUACGUGCUGGGGGGACUCAGCCUUUUAUGCCGCCAUGUGUUGUCUCCGUCCGCUGCCAUAGGAAAGCAGUUGUCCCGUAAUGAGGUACCUUUAAAUUUAAUUUCCUGUCCCUCCUCUGCUUUAUGGAUUUCUAAUAACAAUGUUGGAAACCGGAGAAGAAACCUCUUAAAGUCUCCCGGACUGAGAGUUUACAUAAAUAAUGGAAGGUAGCCGAGCUUAAUUAAGUUUUCCAACAAAUUAAUAGGAUAGGAAGAAAUGCGGUAUUUUGUUUAAGGAGUCACCCAGAGAAGGAUGUAUUUCUGUUGCGUCUUUCCAUAGGAUUCUUACUAAUAUUACUCUUCAAUUUAUUUUUAACUGAUACGUUAUCCAGAGAUUUAAACAUAAUCUCAAAUAAUCCGAAAUGUGUAAACUAAUUAAAAGAUUAACUGGGGGUGAAGGAAAGAAAAAAGACUCUGAGCGCGGCUAAAACUGAGAUUUUUGGACAGAUUUCCCCACGAAAAAAUAAAAUAGGGGAAAAAAAAUAACCGAAUGAAUUGUUGGACCAAUAAAGUCUUGGCAAAGAGAGAAGUUUCGUGUCGGAUAAGUAGAUGCUCGCAUCCGACUGCAGGUUUGCUGGAAGUAUUUUGCCAACUCCUUUUCUUUAAUGCUGUACAACGUUUCCUCCUCCCUUUUACCUGAAUUAUUUCCCGAUGUUUGGCCUUAAUCGCUUCGCUCAAAGCUCCUGUUGCGACUUCAAGUCUUAUUCGAUUAAUUUAGAAGCUUUGCCGCAUCUGUGGAUUAAUUAAAUGAUAUUUCUGUAAGUGAAGCUCCUCACGCCCUCCCCAUCUCAGCGCACGAUGCCGGGUUUGGUGCAGAGCCCCGGGCUGGAGCUGAGAUGGUUCCGAUCGCCCCAAAUUGGGGUCGGCUCUAUGGGGAACAUUACGUGUUCCCUACCUGAACUGUGGGAUCGUUUCGCUUCUGCACACCGUCGGCAUUUCCAGUUCGCCCUGCGAAGAAAUAGAAUUACUGAGAUAGGUGUGAUCGAUUCCCUCCCCGACUUUUUCUUCUUAUUAAUUGGGUUCUCCGGCACCAAAGGGAUUUUUGUCCGGAUUUUUUUCUUUUUCUCCCCGAGGAUUCCGCACGGUUUGGUUUCUCUUAAUUGCGUGGGAAGUGGGUGCGGAUGGAAGGGGCUCCAGGGCGCAGCGGGAUCCAACAUCUCGGGGUUUUCUUUCUGACUGCGGCUCUCCCUGAUCUCAGGACGAAUCCGGACGGUCGCACACCGUGAUUUGGGAACGGCGAGCCGUGAGGGGUGGUGGAAGAGUGGUGAAGCAAAGCAUCCAGGCCAGUCCUGAUGGGGAGGGCCGGGCCGAGGGGCUCCGACUGCCCUCCACUUCGUGUUUUCUUGCCCCGAGAGGAAGUUUUCCCUCGGGAUUCCGCUUCACUUUUUCUCUAGGGUCGCGUUUGAUGCCACUCUCCCAUCUAAGCAGGACUCGGGAUCCCUUCUGCCCCUCGGCACACCUCGCUGCCCUCACCUUCGGGUCCCCACGCUCAACCCGAGCAUUCCCAGCCCGGAAUUCCCAACGUUACAAAGCCUUUUGCUUGGAUCGUGUCUGAGGGCAUCCCCUGGGGAGAGGGCUGCAGGGAAACGACUUUGAUCAUCGCCUUCUUUAAGGCAAAAUGUCACAUUUUUAUUCGCAAACGUCUUUUCUCUCUUUCCUUUUCCCUUCUUUCACUUAAAAAAAAAUAAUAAUAAUAAAA